AUUGAACGCUGGCGGCAGGCCUAACACAUGCAAGUCGAGCGGAUGAAGGGAGCUUGCUCCUGGAUUCAGCGGCGGACGGGUGAGUAAUGCCUAGGAAUCUGCCUGGUAGUGGGGGAUAACGUCCGGAAACGGGCGCUAAUACCGCAUACGUCCUGAGGGAGAAAGUGGGGGAUCUUCGGACCUCACGCUAUCAGAUGAGCCUAGGUCGGAUUAGCUAGUUGGUGGGGUAAAGGCCUACCAAGGCGACGAUCCGUAACUGGUCUGAGAGGAUGAUCAGUCACACUGGAACUGAGACACGGGCCAGGCUCCUACGGGAGGCAGCAGUGGGGAAUAUUGGACAAUGGGCGAAAGCCUGAUCCAGCCAUGCCGCGUGUGUGAAGAAGGUCUUCGGAUUGUAAAGCACUUUAAGUUGGGAGGAAGGGCAGUAAGUUAAUACCUUGCUGUUUUGACGUUACCAACAGAAUAAGCACCGGCUAACUUCGU
RNAcentral lists this ribosomal RNA (483 nucleotides) under uncultured bacterium. Its description in RNAcentral is "partial 16S ribosomal RNA". It matches the Rfam family "Bacterial small subunit ribosomal RNA", at positions 30 to 506 of the family's 1533-position model. The record is from RNAcentral.